RNAcentral lists this transfer RNA (71 nucleotides) under Ictidomys tridecemlineatus (thirteen-lined ground squirrel). RNAcentral describes it as "Spermophilus tridecemlineatus (thirteen-lined ground squirrel) tRNA". It matches the Rfam family "tRNA". Rfam says of the family: Transfer RNA (tRNA) molecules are approximately 80 nucleotides in length. The record is from Rfam by way of RNAcentral. Lineage: Eukaryota; Metazoa; Chordata; Mammalia; Rodentia; Sciuridae.
GGGGGUGUAGCUCAGAGGUAGAGUACUUGCCUAGCACACACAAGGUCCUGGGUUCAAUCCCAGUUUUACCA